This 938-nucleotide ribosomal RNA is filed under the name Lactiplantibacillus plantarum. RNAcentral describes it as "bacterial SSU rRNA". It matches the Rfam family "Bacterial small subunit ribosomal RNA", at positions 68 to 979 of the family's 1533-position model. The record is from RNAcentral. Lineage: Bacteria; Bacillati; Bacillota; Bacilli; Lactobacillales; Lactobacillaceae.
UAUUGAUUGGUGCUUGCAUCAUGAUUUACAUUUGAGUGAGUGGCGAACUGGUGAGUAACACGUGGGAAACCUGCCCAGAAGCGGGGGAUAACACCUGGAAACAGAUGCUAAUACCGCAUAACAACUUGGACCGCAUGGUCCGAGCUUGAAAGAUGGCUUCGGCUAUCACUUUUGGAUGGUCCCGCGGCGUAUUAGCUAGAUGGUGGGGUAACGGCUCACCAUGGCAAUGAUACGUAGCCGACCUGAGAGGGUAAUCGGCCACAUUGGGACUGAGACACGGCCCAAACUCCUACGGGAGGCAGCAGUAGGGAAUCUUCCACAAUGGACGAAAGUCUGAUGGAGCAACGCCGCGUGAGUGAAGAAGGGUUUCGGCUCGUAAAACUCUGUUGUUAAAGAAGAACAUAUCUGAGAGUAACUGUUCAGGUAUUGACGGUAUUUAACCAGAAAGCCACGGCUAACUACGUGCCAGCAGCCGCGGUAAUACGUAGGUGGCAAGCGUUGUCCGGAUUUAUUGGGCGUAAAGCGAGCGCAGGCGGUUUUUUAAGUCUGAUGUGAAAGCCUUCGGCUCAACCGAAGAAGUGCAUCGGAAACUGGGAAACUUGAGUGCAGAAGAGGACAGUGGAACUCCAUGUGUAGCGGUGAAAUGCGUAGAUAUAUGGAAGAACACCAGUGGCGAAGGCGGCUGUCUGGUCUGUAACUGACGCUGAGGCUCGAAAGUAUGGGUAGCAAACAGGAUUAGAUACCCUGGUAGUCCAUACCGUAAACGAUGAAUGCUAAGUGUUGGAGGGUUUCCGCCCUUCAGUGCUGCAGCUAACGCAUUAAGCAUUCCGCCUGGGGAGUACGGCCGCAAGGCUGAAACUCAAAGGAAUUGACGGGGGCCCGCACAAGCGGUGGAGCAUGUGGUUUAAUUCGAAGCUACGCGAAGAACCUUACCAGGU